CCGAGUUCCGCUUGAAUCAUUCAAGCAACUCCCACCCCUUGUCAACCAACUUGUUGCUUCGGCGAGCCGACAGGAAACUGCCGUCGGAUUCAUCGGGCGUGAGCUCGCCGAAGUUUUUUAAACUCUUCGUUUUGCAAGUCUGAUUAUACAAAAAAAUUAAAAA
This 163-nucleotide unclassified non-coding RNA is filed under the name uncultured fungus. RNAcentral's name for it is "sequence contains ITS1, 5.8S rRNA gene". The record is from RNAcentral. Lineage: Eukaryota; Fungi.